AUGCUGAAACACUGCUAAAAUUUAGAACAAAAACCUACUUGCUCACUUAUUCUUCCAAAAAAAAACUGUUUAAACUCAAAAUGUUUUCAUAAAAAGUUUAUUUGUUGCACAUCAUCAAAAUGUUUGUGUCAGUGAACCUACUCAGUAAUUUGAAUAGGGAUGUUGGGGUAAGCUUGUGGUUACAGUAUUAGCUCAUCAUACAGAAGACCAAGGUUCACAUUGGACAUUUUUUGAAGCCCACUUCUGGUGUUCCUUCAUGAUAUUGCUGGCACAAUGAUAGAACUAUAGCCAUAGUCACUCACUGAGUAAAAGACAAAAAUGGUCAAAGAGUAAGCACAGUAACUGCUGGUAGGAGCAGUAUGUAGAAUUACAACUACUUAUCAUUGCCAACUUGUUUUUUUUGUUCUGUUGGAUGAUUACUGACCCUAUUGAACAAGCCAGCAUCAGUAGUUUCGGAGACUGGGCCAUGUCGCUGACCCUGAUUAUCACUGAAGGUCCCUGGAUGAUGAGAACAUGGUUUUUAUCUGGGUAAUUACUGAACGUGUGUUCGGGAUCACAUGCUAGGGGAUACAUCACUAGUAGGCAGCCCAGUCAUCAACCACUGGGAAGUCCUGAUCCACCACCACCAAUCACUGUAAUCCUCAGCUUCAGCAGGAUGAUGCUCAAUCAACAAAGUCUUGCCAAAUCAUUCAAGACUUGAGUUGGACUCCUUUUUCAGUAUAUGCUCAAGGAUCUGGGAGACAGACUAAGAGGGAUGUAGAUGGAGCCUGGUUCCCUGCAUGGCGGAUACAGUGCUCCAUCUCAAGCAGUUAGACGGUGUCUGUGUCUUGACGGUUUUAUUGGUCUUUUGGGCAUCGGCGCCACGGCUGUCCCAGGCACAACGAUUCGCUGAGUUACAUCCCUUGGGCACACCAGAAACCUGUGAUCGUGGGUUCAAGGUCUGACAGCACAAGACCCCUGCUGAUGUGUUUCACUGGAGUGGUAAACAUCUGAGACCAAUAUCACUUAGGGCUUUCAGGCCUUCUGUUCUCUGGUAUAAGGCGGAUAUUGACUGUAAAAUAUGACUGGGAGCGAUACGUUUGUGGUUUGAUUGUAGCUGUGUCAAGCGGACAUUUCAAUUCAAAAUGCAUAUCAUAUCCUAUGAAUCACUGUAAAUAUUAAAUAUUAAA
Haliotis rubra (blacklip abalone) is the source of this 1169-nucleotide long non-coding RNA. RefSeq lists it as uncharacterized. The transcript has 4 exons. The record is from RefSeq and is a predicted model, not a curated record. NCBI's taxonomy places the organism in Eukaryota, Metazoa, Mollusca, Gastropoda, Lepetellida, Haliotidae.